Molecule: long non-coding RNA, 5484 nt
Organism: Lynx canadensis (Canada lynx)
Lineage: Eukaryota; Metazoa; Chordata; Mammalia; Carnivora; Felidae
Exons: 3
Source: RefSeq, a predicted model, not a curated record
GCUGGGCCCGGCCUGGGCUUGCAGACCCGAGCCCCGCAGGCCGGCCCCAGCGGCGGUGGCUCCGGCAAGCCGAAGAAAGGGGACCUUUAUGCCUUUUGGGGGAAGCACACAUUCUGCGAGGCCGUGGAAACAAAGAGAGGAACUGUUUGUAGCCCUAGUCCAGACGUCCCAAACAAACACUGAGGAUGGAAGAUGCGGAAAACCAAACGUACCCCUCUCCUUACAGACUCCGCAGCCUUUCCAGGCUAUCUGCCAAAUUGCGAGAUGUUCCGUGAGGUGGAUAGUUUGGGCCCCCUUCCUGUGCUCUCUUGGAGAAAACCGACAGUAGAGAAACUAAAUGCCUUGGUCCUGCAGCAAUUGUGAAGAAAAGUUAAUAAAAGUAAGCUGUGUCCCUUAGACUGCGUGGAAUUAUAAAAAGCUAGGCUUGGAAACGCAUAGUGACCAUGGGUAGGAUGUCCAUCCAGAGUACUAGCUUGACUCCUGGUUAGGCGACUCGGUAGCUGUGAGUCUUUAGACAAAGUACUGAAUCUCCCUGUGCCUCCUUUUCUGUAAAAUUGGUAUGACAGCCCUUAUCUAGGGAGUGUUGUGUGGGUUAAAUGAGAUAACACAUGCAAAAUGUUCAGAACAACGCCUGGCACGCUGUAAGUUUUCAGUAAAUAUUGCUAUCAGUACUAAAAUUAUUAUUAUCGGUACCUUUGUGACAGGCUAAGUUGUAACAAAAGGACCCCAAAAUACAUUUGCUCAGAAAGGAUAUAAGUGUAUUAUUUCUCUCUCACCUGCUAGCUUGGAGGUAGAUAGUCGGUCCAGGACAGGUAAACAAUUCUGCUCCACAGGGUCAUUCAGGAACCCAGGUUCCUUGUGUUGUGUUUCUUCCCAUCCCCUAGGGUGUCCCCCUCUUCUGCCUAGUUACAGCUCCCCAACAUUAUAUCUCCUUUCUGCUCCUGCGUGCAGGCAAAUGGCCCCCUUCCAAAUGUUGUAACUCUGAAGCUGUUCAUGCCCUUUCACUCAUAUCCCUCAUUGACCAGAACUUGGGCACACUUAGCUGCAGGUGAGUCUGGCAAAUGUAGUCUCCAGCUAGGCCAACUAAAUAUGCCCAACUAAAACUUAGGAAUUCUCUUACUAAAAGGAAGAAAGGGAGAGUGGAAAUUGGGAACAGUUCAUGGUCACUGGGUUCUUAGCCCACCUGAGCUCUACUUCCGACUGGAUGCCUGAUUUGCUCCUGGAUUUCUUCUUUAGAAAAACCCAGGGACAGCUCUUGGCUCAUGUUUCAGAUAAAUACCCUUGGUGGCAGCAUGGGUAUCUCCUGCUGGCUGGUCAGACUGCCUGUCCGCAGGGUUGGGCAGCCUGUCCCCUUACUGCCCAAACCUCCUAGCAAGAGUGGCACUGGCUCUCUUUGUUUGUUUAUUUUCUCCUGGCUCUUUUGACAACUUCCCCAACAGGCAAUGUAAAUUCCAUACUCUAUUGUCUCCAGAGAGUCACUCUUCCUUGGGAUCUUGAGUCUGGGGUGGCUGAUUAAGGAAGGGUCCCUGUGUCCUUCCAUUCUCCUAGAGCUCAUCCUUGCAUGCGUUGAAGAGGGAACCUUCUCCCCACCUCAUCAAGGAUUAUCUAUGAGCCCGCAGGACUGUAAGAAAGAAAUCAAGCCACAUGUUUGCUGAAUGGAUGGGCAGCCACGUGGUCCUAGAGCUCUGUAGUCUUUUAGUUCAACUUUGGUGAUACAUACUUUCCUGAAAGCACUAGUUUAAGCAGCAGCCUGGCUCAAUGAAAGGAAGUGUGGAUCAGUAUUCCAUUCUCAUUAUUGCAAGUAACUUACUGGUUGGGUCAAAGAAAGGCAUAUCAAUGGUCUAGCGGGAGCUUACUCCAAGGACAGAGAAGGUACUUUGAGGUAUAUUGCCUAACAGAUGAAGGAGGACAUUUGUAUUUGUUGAGGGCCUGCUAUGUGCCAAGCACCUGCUCAAGGCAGCAGUCCAGGCAUUAAGUAACAAAACAUGCACCUGAUGGAGUUUACAACCUAGCAGGAGUACCAUGCAUUAACCAUCUCAUUUAAUCCUUGUAAAUUCUGCAAAGCGUGUAUUUUUCAUAUUUUGUAGGCCAAAAAUUCAAGCUCAGAGAGGGAAAUGGUAAGGAUACUUUUAAACCUAUAUCUACCUGAUUCUAAAACUCUUGGUCUUUCCAUUAUUAUUUCAUCAGCCUCCAGACACUUUUUGUGUUGAAGAGGGAAUCUAGCCUAUAUGUAGGAGAGACGUGGUCCCCUGUGCUAAAAACCUGAAACGGUGAUUAUUAUAAACUCAGGGGUUGGCUUCACUUGACUGUGGUGGUUGGAUUUUUUGCGCUAACCUGCAUCUCUCUCUAAUCACCCUUGCCCACUGAUCCUUCUCUGUGCACCCAGCCAGUGGAACCCCACUUCUGGAACAGUUCUGCCCUGCUCCUUUGUUGGGCUCUGACUAUAGCUGGAGGAAUUGUCUGCCACGUCUGUCUGGACCAUUAGAGUACUAGGUUCCCAAGGCUGCCUGGAAACCCUCCCAGAUGUCCCUAGGCCUCCCCUGUCCCAUUAUUAUUGGUGUCUCCUCCUGGCCGUUCCUCUUUCAUCCACCCUGUUUAAACCUCCAUUUCCUUGCCUGUCACUGUCAUUGACAGGGAAUCCAUCCUGUCCAUUGGUAAAACUGAACACAACUUAAGGCCCCAAGAAAUUCUCAAGGUCAUCUCUGGCAAUCCCCCCAGCAUAUCUCCUACUCUGCUUCUCCACUCCUCCCGUGCUAGGGAAGGGGUGUGCUCCUGCCACGGCCGACCUUCUCCUUGUGCUCCAGACACUCUCCCAUCUCCCCUAGAGACACCCUCCCCUCCUCCCUCCAAUCAUUCUGUUCUCUUGUUCACAUCUUCAGCUUCUUGCCUACCAGUAUUUCUCAUCACUACCUGAACUUGGUCAAUCUCUCCAAGCUGAAUAGUGCCCUGUUCUCGAACCCAUAUUUCUGUCUACUUCUGCCUUCAGUUUCCCUUUCUCUCUCCUUUCACAGCCCAGGCUUCUUGAAAGAAUCAUCUACACUGGCUGCUGACACUGCCCCCCUGCCCAUUCAGUCCGCCAUCACCCGUCUGGCAUAUGUUUCCAUGAUCAAAUGCCCAGACUAACGUCAUGAAAGACAGCCAUUCCCGAGAUCUAGUUGUUGUUUUUCUUCCCUAGUAUGACUCCAUCUUUCGAGGGCAUUGGUACCAUUACACACCCACACAUUUUGAGCCUCUCUUCCCAGAUGACUUUGCUCUCUAGGUUUCCACCCUACUUUGCUGGAUAUUUUUUUCCUAUCUCCUUAUGGAGACCUCCUGUUCUACUUACUCCCUGAAUGUCUCCAGGGUCUCUCUGUCCCACCCACUGCUCUUCUCACCCUCUCCCUUGGUGUCCUCAACCAUAUAUGAGCCGACGCUCUCCCUCCUGACAUCUGGUCCUGAAUGUCCGGCCUCUCAUGGACUACUGCUUCUGGCUGUCCCCAGGCUCCUCCCGCUUAGCAUUCUAAAGCCAGACUCCUCGUCAGGCUCUUCCAAGACUUGCCCCUCUUCUUAUGCCCCCAGUUGUCGGGAACGGUACCGUUACCCCAGUUGCCCAUGUCAGAGCAAAGAAGUCUAGUAAUUAUCUUGGAUCCAUCCUUCUCGUUGCAUCUCAUUGAACAGGUAUCAUGUUCUAGUGAGUCUAGCUCUUCCAGCUCCUGAAUCUCCCUGCCUCUCAUUCUCCUACCACUGGGGAAAAAGCCUGUACUGCUUCUCACACAGCUAUGGCAAAGGGCCCUUGAGGGACCGCCUCUAUUUCCAUCCUUCACUGCCAGGAUCGUCCCUCUAAUGCUGUUGGCUCAGGGCAUCCUCCUGCUCUUCAGUGCUCCCAGAGAUUUUGGAUAAAGCUCACACUCCUUCAGUUAAUCACACAGCCCUUCCUGAUAAUUCCGGGUCUACCUUUACAGCCCCUUUCCAUCUUUACCCCACGCGGGGCGGUGCAGGUUCAUGCCUAGCGACAUGCCUUCACCUGCAGCACCUUCUGCCUUCCUCCUGGUGCUGAUCUCCAGUUGUCUGUCAAAACUCAGCUCGGGCAGCAUCUCACAGGCCACGUCUGCCUGGCACGGCUGUCACAAUUUCACACACCAGAUUCCCCGUUAGCAGCUCCAGGGCCGAAGCACACACAAGGUGCUCUACAAAUGGUAAAGGCAUGGACUAUUUUCUUCAGAAACUUUUAAUUCUCACUCAGGAAGCCUGAGGCAUCAAGUUAAGGUCCCUUGUAAAAGCUCUUCAGGGUGUCUCCAGUUUUUUAAUAGAAGCAUGGUUUGACCUUGACAAUCAGACAUGUAGAAGCUGAGCAGCCAGUCAGCUAAGGGUAGAGCAGUUAGUCGUUCCUCAUUCACUCCCAAGUUGCUGAGCAAAAGGAAGCACCACUGCCCCUCUUCCCCGCUGCCUCCUUUCUCUGGGCUGUCAGCGUGCACGGUAUUUUUGCAUAUACCCUGGGGUCCUUUAUUCUCUGGGGUUUCUGAAUUCAUUAUAUUAUUGCAUUAGGCCCGAGGGGUUGACAGUUCAGCAGGAUUCAAGGUUUCGGGGAGGAAAUAGGGUUUCUGUGGGGGUAGCUGCUUGUUAAUUUACGGUGGACUGGACAUUUUGUGAACGGUGACUUUCCUCAGCCAGGAGCACUGAAGGUUUGGAGAAAGCUUUGGGGGGAGGUGAUGUUGCCCUGGCCAGGGAAAGCAUUGUGCUCCAGAGAGAUUGUUUGUGUCUCGCUCUAAUUCUCCAGCGGCACAGAAGCAAGUCUUCUCGUUUUACAGAAGUUUUCAUUGUUUGUUAUGAUAGUUUUAGCUGCCGUGAUUGAAAUUUACUUGCUGCCAAAUCUGUUCUCCGGAACAGCCGAGAUUCUGUCUCUAGUCUUUGGUGGUCGCCUCAGCAUUUCGAAUACGGCACUGGCUGGCUAGCCAGCCGUGUGGAACUAGGCUGGUCCCAUCGCCCAGACCAUGAGAGCCAGAGGUAUCAGGAGUCUUAUCACCAGGUAAGACUUCUACUUCUGGUGCUCCCCUGAGUCUGGGCUUCCCAUGACUGAGGAGAUUGGCUGGAAUCUCACAGAAUGUGCCAAUCAAGACCCAGGGUUUGCAAGUGAUAGUCUCAACUCAUGACCUAUGCAAGAAAGAUGAAUUCUCUGGCUGAAAAAUACUAGAGGGAGAUCUGUAUUUAGAUAUGCUGGUUUCUAGGGUCAGGGAUAGCAUCGUCAAGGCAUGCCUCUCCCUGUGUACCCUUGGCUCUGCUUCCUUUUUAGCUGGCUUCCUUCUCAAGCUCUCUGUGGAGGGACAGAAAUUGUCCUUAACAUCUAGCAAUUUCAGGACAAGAAAUUCUUCUUUCCCAACAACUAUACAGAGUCAAAAGGUACCUCUAAUUGCCUACUCUGGGUCAUGGGGCUAUCUUAGUUUGUUUGGGCCGUUAAAACGAAAAUACCACAGACUGGGGGACUUAACACGCAUUUAUUUCUCACGG